UUGAAAGGGAAACGAUUGAAGUCAGUCAUACCAACGGGAAAUCAACCUUUUGAGCUCGGUCUCGUGGGUUUUGAAGAGUUUCAAAGCCUUCGGAUUCGCGAGAUUGGGAUCUCUCGGUGUACUUUCUCGUACGGUUAGUCAACAUCGGUUUUGAAUGUCAUAAAAUGACUGGAGGAAUGUAGCUUCGAUCUCGUAUUGAAGUGUUAUAGCCUUUGGUAGAUGUGAUGUUUGAGACCGAGGAUUGCAACGGAUACCCUUCAGGGCUAUUCGUCUGAUCUCUGAUACGUUGCCCUGAUGUUGAAAGCUUGCUUAUGAUGUUAGGGUAUUACGGUCAAAAGGUUAGAACGAAUUACAUUCGUUAAGGAUGUUGACGUA
RNAcentral lists this ribosomal RNA (375 nucleotides) under uncultured Glomeraceae. RNAcentral's name for it is "LSU rRNA". Lineage: Eukaryota; Fungi; Glomeromycota; Glomeromycetes; Glomerales; Glomeraceae. The record is from RNAcentral.